This 497-nucleotide ribosomal RNA is filed under the name uncultured bacterium. RNAcentral describes it as "partial 16S ribosomal RNA". It matches the Rfam family "Bacterial small subunit ribosomal RNA", at positions 28 to 507 of the family's 1533-position model. The record is from RNAcentral.
GAUGAACGCUGGCGGCGUGCCUAAUACAUGCAAGUCGAGCGAACAGAUGAGGAGCUUGCUCCUCUGACGUUAGCGGCGGACGGGUGAGUAACACGUGGAUAACCUACCUAUAAGACUGGGAUAACUUCGGGAAACCGGAGCUAAUACCGGAUAAUAUAUUGAACCUCAUGGUUCAAUAGUGAAAGACGGUUUUGCUGUCACUUAUAGAUGGAUCCGCGCCGCAUUAGCUAGUUGGUAAGGUAACGGCUUACCAAGGCAACGAUGCGUAGCCGACCUGAGAGGGUGAUCAGCCACACUGGAACUGAGACACGGUCCAGACUCCUACGGGAGGCAGCAGUAGGGAAUCUUCCGCAAUGGGCGAAAGCCUGACGGAGCAACGCCGCGUGAGUGAUGAAGGUCUUCGGAUCGUAAAACUCUGUUAUUAGGGAAGAACAAAUGUGUAAGUAACUAUGCACGUCUUGACGGUACCUAAUCAGAAAGCCACGGCUAACUACGUG